GUCCCCUUCGUCUAGUGGCCUAGGACGCUGCCCUCUCACGGCAGUAACAGGGGUUCGAAUCCCCUAGGGGACGCCA
Molecule: transfer RNA, 76 nt
Filed under: Rhodovibrio salinarum
Lineage: Bacteria; Pseudomonadati; Pseudomonadota; Alphaproteobacteria; Rhodospirillales; Rhodovibrionaceae
Description: tRNA-Glu
Rfam family: tRNA
About the family: Transfer RNA (tRNA) molecules are approximately 80 nucleotides in length. Their secondary structure includes four short double-helical elements and three loops (D, anti-codon, and T loops).
Source: RNAcentral